GACGAACGCUGGCGGCGUGCUUAACACAUGCAAGUCGAACGGAAAGGCCCUGCUUUUGUGGGGUGCUCGAGUGGCGAACGGGUGAGUAACACGUGAGUAACCUGCCCUUGACUUUGGGAUAACUUCAGGAAACUGGGGCUAAUACCGGAUAGGAGCUCCUGCUGCAUGGUGGGGGUUGGAAAGUUUCGGCGGUUGGGGAUGGACUCGCGGCUUAUCAGCUUGUUGGUGGGGUAGUGGCUUACCAAGGCUUUGACGGGUAGCCGGCCUGAGAGGGUGACCGGCCACAUUGGGACUGAGAUACGGCCCAGACUCCUACGGGAGGCAGCAGUGGGGAAUAUUGCACAAUGGGCGGAAGCCUGAUGCAGCAACGCCGCGGGCGGGAUGACGGCCUUCGGGUUGGAAACCGCUUUCGCCUGUGACGAAGCGUGAGUGACGGUAAUGGGUAAAGAAGCACCGGCUAACUACGUGC
This 469-nucleotide ribosomal RNA is filed under the name uncultured bacterium. RNAcentral describes it as "partial 16S ribosomal RNA". It matches the Rfam family "Bacterial small subunit ribosomal RNA", at positions 28 to 508 of the family's 1533-position model. The record is from RNAcentral.